This 494-nucleotide ribosomal RNA is filed under the name uncultured bacterium. Its description in RNAcentral is "partial 16S ribosomal RNA". It matches the Rfam family "Bacterial small subunit ribosomal RNA", at positions 28 to 504 of the family's 1533-position model. The record is from RNAcentral.
GAUGAACGCUGGCGGCGUGCCUAAUACAUGCAAGUCGAGCGAACGGACGAGAAGCUUGCUUCUCUGAUGUUAGCGGCGGACGGGUGAGUAACACGUGGAUAACCCACCUAUAAGACUGGGAUAACUUCGGGAAACCGGAGCUAAUACCGGAUAAUAUUUUGAACCGUAUGGUUCAAAAGUGAAAGACGGUCUUGCUGUCACUUAUAGAUGGAUCGGCGCUGCUUUAGCUAGUUGGUAAGGUAACGGCUUACCAAGGCAACGAUGCAUAGCCGACCUGACAGGGUGAUCGGCCACACUGGGAGAGCGACACGAUCCAGACUGAGACAGGAGGCAGCAGUAUGGAGGCGUCCGCAGUGGGCGAAAGUGUGACGUGGCAGCACCGCUGAAGGAAUAAAGGUGUUCGGAUGGUAAAGCUCUUUUAUUAGUGAAGAGCAUAUGUGUAAGAAGCUGUGCACGUCAUGACGGUACCUAAACAGAAAGCCACGGCGAACGAC